Molecule: long non-coding RNA, 3502 nt
Filed under: Vulpes vulpes (red fox)
Lineage: Eukaryota; Metazoa; Chordata; Mammalia; Carnivora; Canidae
Description: lncRNA (ENSVVUG00000003192.1)
Source: RNAcentral
CAGGGAUGCACCAAGAUGAAUAGGCCCAAAACAAUAGGCCCAUUUGUUAGAGCAGUAGCUUCUCUAAUACAUGAUGAGACAAUCAAGCCAAGCUGCCUUCGGCACAAAGACAUAAUUAAUCAAAUGGACAAAUGGUUCAAAAAUUGCUCUAGUAUAUUCUGUAGUGGACAGAGGUUUCCAUGGAAACAUUGGCGUUUGCAUCACAGUUAAUGACCAUUCUGUACAAUGAAGGCUCCCCCUUCACACACACUUCUUUACUCCCUCUCCACUACGCCUGCUCUCCCCACUGUUCCAACCAUUAAGAAACACAACCUGGAGAAAAACAAACAAAACAGGGAGAACGAAGAAGCAUAAAGGAGAACCCUGAGUACCCGAUUUUCCUAUCAGAAAAUCUAAUAGUUCUAUUUCAGGAUUUAUAAAAGAGCUGGAUACCUUUGUAGUGUCCCUUGAAGACAUGUUCUUUUCCUGAUAUUUAAGUUUUUAUUUUUAAAAGCCUAUGACAAUGGAAUCCUUUGCUGGUGAGAAGCAUGAAGAGAGAAUUUCAAGGCUUUUGGAGUGAGGGUGGCCUAGGGGACAAGCACAGCAAGAGAGCUGGUGAUAUAUUUAAGACUUGAAAGGAGAAAGUAGUUUCCCAGGCCUGAAAAAUUGAAGAGCCCAGACCAAUAUACUGGAAGUGAUGUUUUUUAGAAUUUUCUAGAUAGAAGAUUUGUCUAUAAAAGAUCAUGAGCAGCAGAAGCGACAUCACUAUCUAAAACUAUAGGAUGGUAUCAGGUGUCAAGUUUACUCUUGACAAGAAAGUGUCUUUACUUAGACACCUGAAAGCAUUUGGAGUCAUCACAAUGAUGUGGAGACCCCUUGCUUUGGGCAUGCCUCCCUGUUCUAUUGAUGUGACACAAUUAUGUACUAAGAACACUGAAGAAUUGUGGAGAUUUGUUCUCAAUAGUCAAGUCCAUUUGUUCUCAAAUGCUCUGAUAUUUUGUCUUCAUAGAACAUUUCAUUUGUCUACAAAAAAGGGGAAAUAUCAGAUUGAAGCAAGAAAGUUCUGUCUGCUAAUAUUUAAAGAUGAUAUGAUAUUUGCAUGAAUCAUUGUUCUCUUCGUUAAUUAUUCUGUGAUGUCGAAACAAAUGGUGUGAUGCAUAAUGCUGUUACUUGGAUUAAGAGGCUAUGAUGCUAGUGCAAGAGUACUGCAGGGAAACNAAAAAGGGGAAAUAUCAGAUUGAAGCAAGAAAGUUCUGUCUGCUAAUAUUUAAAAGAUGAUAUGAUAUUUGCAUGAAUCAUUGUUCUCUUUGGUAAUUAUUCUGUGAUGUCAAAACAAAUGGUGUGAUGCAUAAUGCUUUUACUUGGAUUAAGAGGCUAUGAUGCUAGUGCAAGAGUAUUGCAGGGAAAAAAAAAAGAAAAUUCACAUUUCAGGUCAUGUUCCAUAUUUCUUCACUAACAAAAAAUUAUAAAUAUAACUUCAGAGGAAUUUUCCAAUAUAUUGAUAGUGCAAUAACACUAUAUAUUAUUACAAAUGGCUACCACCACAAAUAGAAAAGCAAUACCUUGCCUGGUAUUUGAGCAAAAGCACAGCAUCAAAUCUUGUCAUAUUGUAAAAUUAGUAAUUAAAAUUUUGGAAAUUUUGGAAAACAAAACUAAUUUUCCUGUGUUAUAUGUUACUGGAAAAAAGAAAUUAUAUUUUUAAAAGUAUUCCAUGGCUUCAAAUUUGAAGUCAUCAGUCAAAUAUUCUAUCAUUUACAAAAGAUGUGCAAGACACCUUUGGCAAUCAAAAGGAUCAACAUAGCUGCUGCUUAUCAAGACCUGUUGGUUUUAAAUAUGUGAUAUUCCAUAUAAAUUGAAUAUUUACAAAAGCUAAUUUUCAAUGAGUUGUUUGCAUUUUAGUUCACUACUACAUUACCACAGUUUUCAAAAUUAUUAUUUAUAAUUCAUGAACAAAAAACUCUAUUGACAUAAUUCCAGGUUUUUUUCCAAGGUAUAUUUUUUUUAAGUACAGAGCUUAAUUUCCCUAAAAACAGUCACAUAAGUAAUUAAAGUGGGACUAGCAUUUUAAUCCCUGUGGUCUGACCCCUUAACCACGGUAUAUGUUAUUUAUUCAAACUGAUUGUUUGGUAAACAGGCAGACUGUUAUACUUGGUAUUUCCGUUGGCUUACCUAUGGGGCAAGAAGAAACUAUUUAUCUUCAAAACACUAUCUGUCUUAAAGAUCUAGAUGCCAAAUCAGAAACAUGACUGAAUUGUUUUAGGCUAUUGGGAUGAUGAUUAGGAAGGUACUUUCAUGCAUUUCUGAGCUUAAAUUGAAAAAUAACAUUUUAUUUUUCAAUUACCAAAAGAAGGAAAUAAGGCAUAUUAAGAAAAACUGGAUUGUUGCUUCGAAAUGUGAUAUAAGAAUACUAUAACAGUUGCAACCAAUAUUUAAGUACUUACAGUGGGCUAGGCACUGUCUUAAAAGUCGUACUAAUUUUCCAUAUUAAUUUCUUACUAGUCUGUGAGAUAAGUGCAGUAUUAUACAGUUCCCAUGUGGAGAAACUGUGGUUUGGAAUGAAGGUGGUGCUAUGGUUUGAAUAUCUGUAAUACCUCAAAAUCAUAUGCUGUUGAUAUUUAAUGUCCAAUGUGAUGAUAUUAGGUGGGGCUUUGGGGAGAUGAUUAGGUUAUAUGGGCGGAGCCCUCAUGAGUGGGGUGAAUGUUCUUGUAAAAGAGAUCUCACAGAGCUCCCUAGCCCAUUUUACCAAGUGUGAAGACACAGAAAUAAGGUACUGUCUCUGAACCAGAAUGAGGGCCCUCAAACAUGGCCAUGCUGGUGUCUUGAUUAAGGACUUCCCAGCCUCCAGAACUGUGACAAAUCUCUAUUGUUCAUUAGCUAACUAGUCUGAGUAUUUUGUUAUAGCAGCCAGAAAAAAACUAAGAUGGGCGGCUCUCCUAGUAUCUAUUACCUAGUAAGUUACUGAGAUGGAAUUUAGUCAAUAGGUUUCAGAGCUUAUUUGAUUAAAGACCAUGCUUUCCCUACAGAAAAGGACAGAAGUAUCAUUUACUGUGCUAGAAUAUACAUGUGUAUAUGUAUUUAAUGAGCUAUUUCCUACUAUUACUCUAAAUAUUAUUUUGUAGCUGACAUGAAAAAAUUAGGUGCAUGAAAAAAUUAAAUAAUGUACUCAAUCUAAUCUAUAGAUCAGCUCUAUAAAAAGAAAACUGUAAAUUAUGCUCUCUACCAAUCCAAAAACCCUCCUCCAUUAAAACUCACUAAAUUCCUCAAACAUUAAUAUAGUACUUCUUAUAUGCCAUGGACUGUGUUGAACCAAUCUUUUAACAUCUUUCAGUCAGGAGUAUUUUUUUCAUUGUUUGAUGAACCAGACAUAAUUAUUACCUUCUUGGAACCUUGGUUUUCUACAGUUGCCAAAUUCUCACAAAGUUCUAUAAUUUUACCUUGACAUUUAUGGUGAUCAAAGAGAAGUGCCUGUUUGAUUAAAUAUAUUGCAAAUAAAAUAGGAAUAAGGGUUGCUAGUUUUUGAUAA